This 432-nucleotide ribosomal RNA is filed under the name Starmerella bacillaris. RNAcentral's name for it is "eukaryotic LSU rRNA". The stretch from base 125 to 273 matches the Rfam family "5.8S ribosomal RNA". The record is from RNAcentral. Lineage: Eukaryota; Fungi; Ascomycota; Dipodascomycetes; Dipodascales; Trichomonascaceae.
CCAGAAGGCUUUUUGCCAAAACCACUGUGAACAGCUUAGACUUCGGUCUUUGCAAUUGCUUGGGUGUCGAAAGGCGCCCAAUCUUUAAAACUUUUAUAUUUGUUCUGAAACAAUGAAAAUUUAAAACUUUCAACAACGGAUCUCUUGGUUCUCGUAUCGAUGAAGAACGCAGCAAAGCGCGAUAGGUAAUGCGAAUUGCAGACGUGAGUCAUUGAAUUUUUGAACGCAUAUUGCGCUAUUAGUUUGUCUAAUAGCAUGCUUGUUGGAGUGAUAAUCUUCCUCUCAACCAUUUUUGGUAUGAGGUCUUGCUCCUUUUAGGAGUUAAAAUCAUGGAAGUGCACACGUUAAUUAACUCUGUGCAGUUAUACACUUUUCAUCCUCCAAUCAAGCAAGGUUACCCGCUGAACUUAAGCAUAUCAAUAAGCGGAGGAA